Helianthus annuus (common sunflower) is the source of this 1313-nucleotide long non-coding RNA. RefSeq lists it as uncharacterized. The transcript has 4 exons. The record is from RefSeq and is a predicted model, not a curated record. Lineage: Eukaryota; Viridiplantae; Streptophyta; Magnoliopsida; Asterales; Asteraceae.
CACCUUCAAAGGUUCAAAUUCUCUCUUCACAAGCUCUAACAGUGGUUUUCGUGACGGUUGGCUCAAUCUUACGAUCUUCUACGAAAACUCAAUAGCCGGUGAUAUCUUUAUAUUUACGGGAGCUAACGACGACAACUAUGACGUUUCUCUAAGCUUUAAUUAUAUGCAAAGAAAGCAAAAGUAUAUCAUAAAAUGGACAAGCUUGGGUCUGAAUUGAUUGUGGACGAAAUUUUCACAAGGCUGCCUGCAAAAGCUAUAGGCCGUUUCAAAGGUCUUUCCAAAUUUUAUCGUAACGAACUGUCAAAUGAUAAUUUUGAGAUUAUGCAUUCUCGGCGAAUUCUAAGUUCGCUACAAAAGAAGCUUCUCUCCUUAAAAGAUAACUCAAUUGUUGUUGAUAACAUAGUAGGCGGGAAUUUGCAAGCCGAUACAACCAAAACCUAUAAUUUCUCCAUUGAAUGUCCAUCCUUCUUUCUUACGUGUUAUAGCGUCCUUUAAAGGUCUGCUAUUAAUUUGCAAUGAAAGGUUUUGUUGUGAGCUCAUACUUUGGAAUCCAACAACAAGGCGCUUUAAAUUUUUGGCCGAUGACUACUUUGAUCGUAAUUUCGAGCGAAACGCUGAUACUGGUGGAAUGUACUUUGACGACUCGAACGAUCUCAAAGUUCUUCACAUCAGACGUUACCGUAAUGUUGUUAAUGCUCGAGUUUACUCACGUUGUCGUGAGUCAUGGAGAAUGAUAAAUUCAUUGAACGUAACUAAUUUUGCUUCAAUAUAUUACUCAUGGUCUCCCGGAAUUUAUUCGGGGAAAAACAUAUAUUUCAUGGUUUCCAAUUAUUGGUUUCAACCAGGUGAGAGACACAUAGUAGCUUUCGACGUUCUUUUCGAAACUUUCAGCACUCUUCCUUUUCCCGAGGUUUGGGAAGUGAAUCCUUGGCAAGGACAUUUUUUGAGCAUUGCAAUGAAGCUGCAUGUGAUUGUUGUUGGACGUAAGCUAUUUGUUGAUUUGUUCAAAUUUGAAGAUUAGGCUUGGAUCAAGGUGUUUUCUUUCAAUACGCCUCAUAUUGUUGAUUAUCUUGAAAGGCGUCGAAGGACUAAUAUAAUUUAAGACAACAAGUGGCUCAUAACAAGCAUUUGGGGUGAUAUUGUUGAAGUUGACCUUUGCAACGAAUCUUUCAAGUACCUCGAACAUGUUGAUGACUACACUGGUCCGAAAGGAGCCUUAUUUUUCGAGACCACUAUGUCGCCUAUAGUUUAGAAAUUUUUAUUUUAUUGUUUCAAGUUUUUUUAUAUUAUAUCCUUCUUAACUUGAAUAACUA